RNAcentral lists this ribosomal RNA (253 nucleotides) under uncultured bacterium. Its description in RNAcentral is "partial 16S ribosomal RNA". It matches the Rfam family "Bacterial small subunit ribosomal RNA", at positions 524 to 776 of the family's 1533-position model. The record is from RNAcentral.
UACAGAGGGUGCGAGCGUUGUCCGGAUUUACUGGGCGUAAAGAGCGUGUAGGCGGCCAAACAGGUCCGUUGUGAAAACUGGAGGCUCAACCUCCAGACGUCGACGGAAACCGUGUGGCUAGAGUCCGGAAGAGGAGAGUGGAAUUCCUGGUGUAGCGGUGAAAUGCGCAGAUAUCAGGAAGAACACCAAUGGCGAAGGCAGCUCUCUGGGACGGUACUGACGCUGAGACGCGAAAGCGUGGGGAGCGAACAGG